GUUAGAGCGCGCGCUUGAUAAGCGUGAGGUCGGAAGUUCAAGUCUUCCCAGGCCCACCACUUUGAUCGAGCGCAUUGCGUCUCAAUAAUCGACGUAAAGCAUUCGUCUUCUGGUACGGGGCCAUAGCUCAGCUGGGAGAGCGCGUGCUUUGCAAGCAUGAGGUCGUCGGUUCGAUCCCGUCUGGCUCCACCAGAUGGAAUCGAAGAUCGAGAUGCCUCGAAUAAUCGUCCGCGAAACAUCACUUCGCAUGCGCGGUCCGGAUGGACCGCGUCAUGCGUGAUAUCUGACAUCGUAAAGAGGAGAUCGAUCCGAGUUUGGGAUCUGCAAAGCAAUUUGCGGGCUCCCAUUCCUAAUCUCCAGAUCAUUUCGGCGCUCGCUCAUCGCAAGAUGAGUGAGUUGUAAAUGAUCUUUGUAGCGAAGCUUGACCGCCUCGCUAUCGGUUCGAUCUUACGAAGCAAGCUGGUCUUUCUAAUCAGUGUCCAGCCGCAUGCAGCAUUCAUCGAGGGUGCGCGCCUUUUGACUUCGGUCUUGAGGCAAGUGUGCGGACAACAUUCUGCCGAGUGUGUGGACAUUGAUAAUGAGAGCAAUCAAGUGCCUUAAGGGUGUUCGGUGGAUGCCUUGGCGCUGAGAGGCGAUGAAGGACGUGCUACGCUGCGAUAAGCCGUGGGGAGCUGCGAAGAAGCUUUGAUCCACGGAUUUCC
This 701-nucleotide unclassified non-coding RNA is filed under the name Bradyrhizobium sp. RNAcentral's name for it is "partial 16S-23S ribosomal RNA intergenic spacer region". The stretch from base 586 to 701 matches the Rfam family "Bacterial large subunit ribosomal RNA", at positions 1 to 115 of the family's 2925-position model. The record is from RNAcentral. Lineage: Bacteria; Pseudomonadati; Pseudomonadota; Alphaproteobacteria; Hyphomicrobiales; Nitrobacteraceae.